RNAcentral lists this unclassified non-coding RNA (331 nucleotides) under soil metagenome. RNAcentral's name for it is "partial contains 5.8S ribosomal RNA, internal transcribed spacer 2, and large subunit ribosomal RNA". The stretch from base 1 to 120 matches the Rfam family "5.8S ribosomal RNA", at positions 35 to 154 of the family's 154-position model. The record is from RNAcentral.
GAUGAAGAACGUAGCGAAAUGCGAUAAGUAAUGUGAAUUGCAGAAUUCAGUGAAUCAUCGAAUCUUUGAACGCACAUUGCGCCCCCUGGUAUUCCGGGGGGCAUGCCUGUUCGAGCGUCAUUUCACCACUCAAGCCUCGCUUGGUAUUGGGCAACGUGGUCCGCCGCGUGCCUCAAAUCGACCGGCUGGGUCUUCUGUCCCCUAAGCGUUGUGGAAACUAUUCGCUAAAGGGUGUUCGGGAGGCUACGCCGUAAAACAACCCCAUUUCUAAGGUUGACCUCGGAUCAGGUAGGGAUACCCGCUGAACUUAAGCAUAUCAAUAAGCGGAGGA